GACGAACGCUGGCGGCGUGCUUAACACAUGCAAGUCGUACGGUAAGGCCCUUCUUUUGUUGGAUGCUUGAGUGGCGAACGGGUAAGUCACACGUGAGUAACCUGCCCUUUACUUUGGGAUCACUUCAGGUAACUGUGGCUAAUACCGUAUAGUCGCUCCUGCUGCAUGGUGUGGGUUGGAACGUUUCGGCGGUUGGGGAUGGACUCGCGGCUUAUCAGCUUGUUGGUGGGGUAGUGGCUUACCAAGGCUUUGACGGGUAGCCGGCCUGAGAGGGUGACCGGCCACAUUGGGACUGAGAUACGGCCCAGACUCCUACGGGAGGCAGCAGUGGGGAAUAUUGCACAAUGGGCGGAAGCCUGAUGCAGCAACGCCGCGUGCGGGAUGACGGCCUUCGGGUUGUAAACCGCUUUCGCCAGUGACGAAGCGUGAGGUAAGGGAAUGGGUAAAGAAGCAACGGCUAACUAAGUG
Molecule: ribosomal RNA, 468 nt
Filed under: uncultured bacterium
Lineage: Bacteria
Description: partial 16S ribosomal RNA
Rfam family: Bacterial small subunit ribosomal RNA
Source: RNAcentral